RNAcentral lists this ribosomal RNA (251 nucleotides) under uncultured bacterium. RNAcentral describes it as "partial 16S ribosomal RNA". It matches the Rfam family "Bacterial small subunit ribosomal RNA", at positions 525 to 775 of the family's 1533-position model. RNAcentral also lists the same sequence under 1 other name. The record is from RNAcentral.
ACGUAGGGUGCGAGCGUUGUCCGGAUUUAUUGGGCGUAAAGGGCUCGUAGGUGGUUGAUCGCGUCGGAAGUGUAAUCUUGGGGCUUAACCCUGAGCGUGCUUUCGAUACGGGUUGACUUGAGGAAGGUAGGGGAGAAUGGAAUUCCUGGUGGAGCGGUGGAAUGCGCAGAUAUCAGGAGGAACACCAGUGGCGAAGGCGGUUCUCUGGGCCUUUCCUGACGCUGAGGAGCGAAAGCGUGGGGAGCGAACAG